Molecule: ribosomal RNA, 1436 nt
Filed under: uncultured organism
Description: SSU rRNA
Rfam family: Bacterial small subunit ribosomal RNA
Source: RNAcentral
AACGCUAGCUACAGGCUUAACACAUGCAAGUCGAGGGGCAGCAUCAUCAAAGCUUGCUUUGAUGGAUGGCGACCGGCGCACGGGUGAGUAACACGUAUCCAACCUGCCGACAACACUGGGAUAGCCUUUCGAAAGAAAGAUUAAUACCGGAUGGCAUAGUUUUCCCGCAUGGGAUAAUUAUUAAAGAAUUUCGGUUGUCGAUGGGGAUGCGUUCCAUUAGGCAGUUGGCGGGGUAACGGCCCACCAAACCGACGAUGGAUAGGGGUUCUGAGAGGAAGGUCCCCCACAUUGGAACUGAGACACGGUCCAAACUCCUACGGGAGGCAGCAGUGAGGAAUAUUGGUCAAUGGACGAGAGUCUGAACCAGCCAAGUAGCGUGAAGGAUGACUGCCCUAUGGGUUGUAAACUUCUUUUAUACGGGAAUAAAGUUAGCCACGUGUGGCUUUUUGUAUGUACCGUAUGAAUAAGGAUCGGCUAACUCCGUGCCAGCAGCCGCGGUAAUACGGAGGAUCCGAGCGUUAUCCGGAUUUAUUGGGUUUAAAGGGAGCGUAGGCGGGUUGUUAAGUCAGUUGUGAAAGUUUGCGGCUCAACCGUAAAAUUGCAGUUGAUACUGGCGACCUUGAGUGCAACAGAGGUAGGCGGAAUUCGUGGUGUAGCGGUGAAAUGCUUAGAUAUCACGAAGAACUCCGAUUGCGAAGGCAGCUUACUGGAUUGUAACUGACGCUGAUGCUCGAAAGUGUGGGUAUCAAACAGGAUUAGAUACCCUGGUAGUCCACACAGUAAACGAUGAAUACUCGCUGUUGGCGAUAUACAGUCAGCGGCCAAGCGAAAGCAUUAAGUAUUCCACCUGGGGAGUACGCCGGCAACGGUGAAAACAAAAGGGAAUUGACGGGGGCCCGCACAAGCGGAGGAACAUGUGGUUUAAUUCGAUGAUACGCGAGGAACCUUACCCGGGCUUAAAUUGCAACUGACUGAACCGGAAACGGUUCUUUCUUCGGACAGUUGUGAAGGUGCUGCAUGGUUGUCGUCAGCUCGUGCCGUGAGGUGUCGGCUUAAGUGCCAUAACGAGCGCAACCCUUAUCGAUAGUUACUAGCAGGUCAUGCUGAGGACUCUAUUGAGACUGCCGUCGUAAGAUGUGAGGAAGGUGGGGAUGACGUCAAAUCAGCACGGCCCUUACGUCCGGGGCUACACACGUGUUACAAUGGGGGGUACAGAAGGCAGCUACACGGCGACGUGGUGCUAAUCCCGAAAGCCUCUCUCAGUUCGGAUUGGAGUCUGCAACCCGACUCCAUGAAGCUGGAUUCGCUAGUAAUCGCGCAUCAGCCACGGCGCGGUGAAUACGUUCCCGGGCCUUGUACACACCGCCCGUCAAGCCAUGAAAGCCGGGGGUACAAGAAGUACGUAACCGCAAGGAGCGUCCUAGGGUAAAACUGGA